This 72-nucleotide transfer RNA is filed under the name Dictyobacter aurantiacus. It matches the Rfam family "tRNA". Rfam says of the family: Transfer RNA (tRNA) molecules are approximately 80 nucleotides in length. Their secondary structure includes four short double-helical elements and three loops (D, anti-codon, and T loops). Further hydrogen bonds mediate the characteristic L-shaped molecular structure. tRNAs have two regions of fundamental functional importance: the anti-codon, which is responsible for specific mRNA codon recognition, and the 3' end, to which the tRNAs corresponding amino acid is attached (by aminoacyl-tRNA synthetases). tRNAs cope with the degeneracy of the genetic code in two manners: having more than one tRNA (with a specific anti-codon) for a particular amino acid; and 'wobble' base-pairing, i.e. permitting non-standard base-pairing at the 3rd anti-codon position. The record is from Rfam by way of RNAcentral. Lineage: Bacteria; Bacillati; Chloroflexota; Ktedonobacteria; Ktedonobacterales; Dictyobacteraceae. RNAcentral also lists the same sequence under 3 other names.
GUUCCCGUAGCUCAGUGGAUAGAGCACCGGUCUCCGGAACCGGGUGCGCUGGUUCGAUUCCAGUCGGGAACA